This 461-nucleotide ribosomal RNA is filed under the name uncultured bacterium. RNAcentral's name for it is "bacterial SSU rRNA". It matches the Rfam family "Bacterial small subunit ribosomal RNA", at positions 28 to 507 of the family's 1533-position model. The record is from RNAcentral.
GACGAACGCUGGCGGCGUGCUUAAAACAUGCAAGUCGAACGCGUCCCGACUUCGGUCGGGACGAGUGGCGCACGGGUGCGUAACACGUGAGCAACCUGCCGAUGAGUGGGGGAUACCGUUCCGAAAGGGACGUUAAUUCCGCAUACGCUGCGAGAGGGGCCUCCCUUUUGCAGGAAAGCCGCAAGGCGCUGAUCGAGGGGCUCGCGGCCUAUCAGCUAGUCGGUGAGGUAACGGCUCACCGAGGCGACGACGGGUAGCCGGCCUGAGAGGGUGACCGGCCACACUGGGACUGAGACACGGCCCAGACUCCUACGGGGGCAGGCAGUUGGGAAUCUUGCGCAAUGGGCGAAAGCCUGACGCAGCGACGCCGCGUGCGGGAUGACGGUCUUCGGAUUGUAAACCGCUUUUCUCGGGGACGACUCUCGACGGUACCCGAGGAAGAAGCCCCGGCUAACUCCGUG